This 768-nucleotide long non-coding RNA is filed under the name Capsicum annuum. Its description in RNAcentral is "long non-coding RNA (CANN_LNC002392)". Lineage: Eukaryota; Viridiplantae; Streptophyta; Magnoliopsida; Solanales; Solanaceae. The record is from RNAcentral.
GAAUUGGAACCCUGAUUAAUUUGGAUUGCAUGUUGCAGGGUCUAUUCUGAUGGUGACACUUCCAACAGAAUUUUUUUCAUACUCAGGACUCAAACUCAAAAACUCUAGUUAAGAGUGACGUAGUCCCACCACUACACACAACUCAUGUGUAAGUCACUCGUAUUGAUCCAACUUACCCGAUGUCUGGUGCUCGCAUUGGAGUUUCGACUAAUUCGGAUCACGUGUUGCAGGGCUUAUUCUGGGGAUAGCGCUCCCAAGAGAAUUUUCUCCAUACCCAGCGCUCGAACCCGAGAUCUCUGAUUAAGAGUGAAGCAGUCCCACCAUUACACCACAACCCAUGUAUAAGUUACUCAUAUUAAUCAAACUUACCCGGUGUCUGGUGUCCACAUUGAAGCCUCGACUAAUCCGGAUCGAGCGUUGCAGAGCUCAUUUUCUCCAUAUCUAGAGCUCGAACUAGAAAACUCUAGUUAAGGGUGGAGCAGUCUCACCACUACACCACAAACCACGUAUAAGUCACUCAUAUUCUCCAUAUCCAGAGCUCGAACUAGAAAACUCUAGUUAAGGGUAGAGCAGUCUCACCACUACACCACAAACCACGUAUAAGUCACUCAUAUUGAUCCAACUUUACACAUUUGUUGUAUGUGUUAGAGUCAAAGAAAUUUUACAAGUAAUAACAAAAUGUAACAUUUAUUUGAAUUAGCUCAUUGAAAUAAUUUAUAAACAAUAUUGGUUGAAAUUGAUUUUAUAAAUAAAUAGUUAUAUGUUUAG